GCCUAGCUGGUUGAGUCAGUGGAGCAUGUGACUCUUGAUCUCGGGGUUGUGAGUUCGAAUCCCACACUGGGUG
This 73-nucleotide transfer RNA is filed under the name Felis catus (domestic cat). It matches the Rfam family "tRNA". Rfam says of the family: Transfer RNA (tRNA) molecules are approximately 80 nucleotides in length. Lineage: Eukaryota; Metazoa; Chordata; Mammalia; Carnivora; Felidae. The record is from Rfam by way of RNAcentral. RNAcentral also lists the same sequence under 3 other names.